This 233-nucleotide long non-coding RNA is filed under the name Elaeis guineensis (African oil palm). RNAcentral describes it as "long non-coding RNA (EGUI_LNC056828)". The record is from RNAcentral. Lineage: Eukaryota; Viridiplantae; Streptophyta; Magnoliopsida; Arecales; Arecaceae.
GAUUAGAAAGAAUUUCUAAUGCUUCAUUAUUGAAGUUAUCAUUGGUGAUCAAUGACUGAUGCCCCUUUCCUCAUUCGAGCAUUGAAAAUGGUAUGACUUGUCUUAUGCCUCUCAACAUCAUCGGGUAUGCCAAUGGAUUUGUUCAACAUUUGAAGCAUGUCUUGUGGUUGAGCAUUCUUAAAUCUAUGGUUGAACUCAUCAUUCAUAGCUACCAGCAUAAUGCAAUACACCAU